Molecule: ribosomal RNA, 253 nt
Filed under: uncultured bacterium
Lineage: Bacteria
Description: partial 16S ribosomal RNA
Rfam family: Bacterial small subunit ribosomal RNA
Source: RNAcentral
UACAGAGGGUGCAAACGUUGUUCGGAUUUACUGGGCGUAAAGCGCGUGUAGGCUGCUCCGCAAGUCGGAUGUGAAAGCCCUGGGCUCAACCCAGGAAGUGCAUUCGAAACUGCAGAGCUGGAGUCCUGGAGAGGAAGGCGGAAUUCUCGGUGUAGAGGUGAAAUUCGUAGAUAUCGAGAGGAACACCGGUGGCGAAGGCGGCCUUCUGGACAGUGACUGACGCUGAGACGCGAAAGCGUGGGGAGCAAACAGG